RNAcentral lists this transfer-messenger RNA (291 nucleotides) under Acyrthosiphon pisum (pea aphid). RNAcentral's name for it is "transfer-messenger RNA Buchn_aphid_ApiAPS". It matches the Rfam family "transfer-messenger RNA", at positions 1 to 296 of the family's 374-position model. Rfam says of the family: Bacterial tmRNA, also known as 10Sa RNA or SsrA, is named for its dual tRNA and mRNA-like properties. Its role is to liberate the mRNA from a stalled ribosome. Lineage: Eukaryota; Metazoa; Arthropoda; Insecta; Hemiptera; Aphididae. The record is from RNAcentral.
GGGGCUGUUUUUGGAUUUGACAAAAUUAUCAACAAAGUAAAGUGCAUGCCGAGGAACGGUUUGCCUCGAUAAAAGCCGUAAAAAAAUAAUUGCAAAUAAUAAACAAAACUACGCUUUAGCAGCUUAAAAAACUGAAUAAAGCCCUUCCUUCUUAUCCUCCUUCUCUUAGGAUGAGAAAACAGGAAGGUCAGAAAAAGAGAAAAACGUGGAUAUCAAGCUUGACGAUAACACGAAGUAGUUUUUUCAAGCUAUAUACCUAAUAUGUGUUUUUCCAAAUUAGGUAAUGAAUUC